UUCAUGUAUGAGAACUAAUCAAAUGAAAUAUAGGGAGAGUCCUUAGGGUCACCAUACCCACUCCUGUUUGAUGAAUUAGAAAUAGAUGAGAUCCCCACCACUCAACCAUAUAUAUUCAUGUAUUGGACAAUAUAACAUAUCAAAUGAAAUAUAGCGGAAGUCACUGGGGUCCCCCAACUCCUCCUGUUUGAAAACUUGAUAACGGUCGAGAUCCCCAC
This 218-nucleotide long non-coding RNA is filed under the name Mytilus galloprovincialis (Mediterranean mussel). The record is from RNAcentral. Lineage: Eukaryota; Metazoa; Mollusca; Bivalvia; Mytilida; Mytilidae.